Dalotia coriaria is the source of this 666-nucleotide long non-coding RNA. RefSeq lists it as uncharacterized. The transcript is spliced from 2 exons. The record is from RefSeq and is a predicted model, not a curated record. NCBI's taxonomy places the organism in Eukaryota, Metazoa, Arthropoda, Insecta, Coleoptera, Staphylinidae.
GUUUUUAGUUCAUUGCUCCGCAUUUCAAAAUUAUUUUCGUGUCUUGCAUUUCAUUAUCAAUAUUGCAAAUGAUUACAAAUUUGUACCUAACUAUGACGCAUAAAAUAUAAUAGAUAAUAAACAAUAUUUUACUAUAAAAGCCCAAGCGAUUAUAAACCCAAACAUAAAUCAAUUCCACAUACAAGAAUAAACAGUUCUACCAAUAUUUAAAUAACAAUUUAAAAAUGGUUAAAUUUAUUUUGCAAGCUGUACUUCUAUCAACUCUCCUGGCUAUGGUAUUAGCUCAAAGAUGUCCUCAUACUGUAGAACCACCUUGCAUGUCUACACUUCCUUGUGAAGAAAAUUGUAGUGAUUCGCCUACAGAAUGUGCAGAGGUAAAUGGUAAUGCUGGCGUUCUUGCUCCUGGCGGAUGUAAUUGUUGUAAUACCUGCGUGUACAUAGUCAAAAACAAUGAACAAUGCGGUUAUAAUGGGACAACACAUACUUCCUUUGAGUGCCGCUGCAAUUUCCAGUGUGUUGAUGGUGUAUGCCAACCAGAAAACAAGCCAUGGUGGCCAUAGGAAGAAGAUGUAGAAGAAGAAAAUGUUAGUUUGGAAGUGUUUUCAAAACAUUGUUAGCUCUUGUUGUUAUAAUGAUUGAGCGUUGAAAUAAAAUAUAUUAAAAUAA